CUACGGGCGGCUGCAGUGGGGAAUAUUGCACAAUGGAGGAAACUCUGAUGCAGCAACGCCGCGUGGAGGAUGACACUUUUCGGAGCGUAAACUCCUUUUAUAUAGGAAGAUAAUGACGGUACUAUAUGAAUAAGCACCGGCUAACUCCGUGCCAGCAGCCGCGGUAAUACGGAGGGUGCAAGCGUUACUCGGAAUCACUGGGCGUAAAGAGCGUGUAGGCGGGUUAAUAAGUCAGAAGUGAAAUCCUAUGGCUCAACCAUAGAACUGCUUUUGAAACUGUUAACCUAGAGUGUGGGAGAGGUAGAUGGAAUUUCUUGUGUAGGGGUAAAAUCCGUAGAGAUCAGAAGGAAUACCGAUUGCGAAGGCGUUCUACUGGAACAUAACUGACGCUGAGCCGCGAAAGCGUGGGGAGCAAACAGGAUUAGAUACCCGCGUAGUC
Molecule: ribosomal RNA, 439 nt
Filed under: uncultured bacterium
Lineage: Bacteria
Description: partial 16S ribosomal RNA
Rfam family: Bacterial small subunit ribosomal RNA
Source: RNAcentral